AUUGAACGCUGGCGGAAUGCUUUACACAUGCAAGUCGAACGGCAGCACGGACUUCGGUCUGGUGGCGAGUGGCGAACGGGUGAGUAAUGUAUCGGAACGUGCCCAGUCGUGGGGGAUAACGUAGUGAAAAUUACGCUAAUACCGCAUACGAUCUAUGGAUGAAAGCGGGGGAUCGCAAGAUCUCGCGCGAUUGGAGCGGCCGAUAUCAGAUUAGGUAGUUGGUGGGGUAAAGGCCCACCAAGCCAACGAUCUGUAGCUGGUCUGAGAGGACGAACAGCCAAACUGGAACUGGGACACGGUCCAGACUCCUACGGGAGGCAGCAGUGGGGAAUUUUGGACAAUGGGCGAAAGCCUGAUCCAGCCAUUCCGCGUGCAGGAUGAAGGCCCUCGGAUUGUAAACUGCUUUUGUACAGAACGAAAAGGUUUCUACUAGUACUAGGAGCUCAUGACGGUACUGUAAGAAUAAGCACCGGCUAACUACGUGCCAGCCGCCGCGGUAA
RNAcentral lists this ribosomal RNA (500 nucleotides) under uncultured bacterium. RNAcentral describes it as "partial 16S ribosomal RNA". It matches the Rfam family "Bacterial small subunit ribosomal RNA", at positions 30 to 523 of the family's 1533-position model. The record is from RNAcentral.